Molecule: ribosomal RNA, 1206 nt
Filed under: Triticum aestivum (bread wheat)
Lineage: Eukaryota; Viridiplantae; Streptophyta; Magnoliopsida; Poales; Poaceae
Description: partial small subunit ribosomal RNA
Source: RNAcentral
AUGGCGCGGUGGCCAGCCGCCGCCGUGGCGUGUGCGCUCGGGGCGGCCCUCCUGGGCAUGCUGGCGGUCACCGCUGACGAGCAAGGUAGCAACAGCAAGUUCACGUGCACGGACACGGAGAAGAAGCGGCCGGGGUGCACGGGCACCUGCCCCGACAGGUGCCCCCAGAGCUGCAUCUCGCUCUGCCCCUCGUGCCAGACAUAUUGCCCUGACCAAGUGCAACCAGUGCGGCCGGCGCUCUUUGUGUUCGGAGACGGGUUUACGGACGUCGGCAACAACAACUACCUAGAGAACAACGAAGUAGGGAACCCUGUAAGAGCCAAUCACUCUUACUAUGGCAUAGACUUCCCCAAUUCCGUGGCCACCGGAAGAUUCAGCAACGGAUUCAACUUGGCUGACUUCAUCGCAAAGGCCAUGGGAUUCGAGAUGAGCCCUCCGCCUUAUCUGUCUCUUAAUAGUCCCACAAAAAUGGAUGCCGGUUUUGCUGGAGUCAACUAUGCUUCGGCGACUUCUGGGAUUUGGAGAGACAUCGACACCGGACUGGACAUCCCACUGAUGGACCAAGUGAAGAACUUCGCGGACACGAUAGGGCAGAUGGGUGCCAACCGUAGCCAGCAAGACCUGAGCAAGAUGUUGUCCAAUUCCCUCUUCCUCGUCAGCACCGGCACCACUGACCUCUACUCAAUCUACAACAUCAACAACAAUGGGGGCUCAGACACUAAAACCAAUGUCCCACACCUCAUCUCCUCCUACGGGGACAGCCUCACGGCCCUGUACAACUUGGGCGCGAGGAAGUUCGGUAUCAUCAACGUUCCGACCUUGUGCACGGCGGUGGUGCGCCAUGGCUGCGAGGGCCUCAUUACCAGCCUCCGCGUGGAGUUCAACGACGGCAUCAAGCCACUCAUGGCCGGCCUCGCCUCCAACCUCAGUGGCCUCCGCUACUCCAUCGCCGACUUCCACGCCUUCUCGGAUGCAGUCAACAUGAAUCCAUCGGCCUACGGGUUUGUGAACACCGGGGGCGCGUGCUGCCAAGGCUCCUGCGCACCUGGUUCUGGGCUGCCGUGUGCCAACCGCUCGCAGUACUGGUAUUGGGACGAGGAGUACCCGACGGAGCAGGCCGCUAAGCUGGCCGCAUCUGCGUUUUUCAAUGGCACAACCCAAUUCACAACACCGAUGAACUUCAAGAUGUUGAUCAACCAAAAGUGA